GGGGGCGAAAAGGUUUCGACUGCUAAGGUAGAGCGCAGGUCGCAUGCGGAGGAUGAUCGUUGGCCUCCUUAAUCAUCGGUCAGAAAAGUAACUGCGAACAACGAACUCGCACUCGCCGCUUAGUUCGGCGACGUCUUCACCUGGAUGCCUGAUAUAGGUUUGAAGGCGAAAGCAUCAGGCUGGCUGCACUUGCCGGGCAGGCGGGCAAAGGCAGCAAGAGCUAACAGCAAGCUGCUUCCAGUAACGGUUCGAGUGGCACCAAAAUACUGGACUAAGAUUUAAGACCACCCUAAGCAUGUAGAAGCCUUCGUGAAGUCUUUUCAGGACCCGGGUUCAACUCCCGGCGCCUCCACCA
Molecule: transfer-messenger RNA, 355 nt
Filed under: Lentisphaeria
Lineage: Bacteria; Pseudomonadati; Lentisphaerota
Also listed under: 1 other name
Description: JAAZIZ01 sp012515455 Standard tmRNA
Rfam family: transfer-messenger RNA
About the family: Bacterial tmRNA, also known as 10Sa RNA or SsrA, is named for its dual tRNA and mRNA-like properties. Its role is to liberate the mRNA from a stalled ribosome.
Source: RNAcentral